AAUGGAGGAAACUCUGAUGGAGCAACGCCGCGUGGAGGACGAAGGCUUUCGGAUUGUAAACUCCUGUCUUUUGGGACGAUAAUGACGGUACCAAAAGAGGAAGCCACGGCUAACUACGUGCCAGCAGCCGCGGUAAUACGUAGGUGGCGAGCGUUAUCCGGAAUUACUGGGCGUAAAGGGUGCGUAGGUGGUUUUUUAAGUCAGAAGUGAAAGGCUACGGCUCAACCGUAGUAAGCUUUUGAAACUAGAGAACUUGAGUGCAGGAGAGGAGAGUAGAAUUCCUAGUGUAGCGGUGAAAUGCGUAGAUAUUAGGGGGAAUACCAGUAGCGAAGGCGGCUCUCUGGACUGUAACUGACACUGAGGCACGAAAGCGUGGGGAGCAAA
This 384-nucleotide ribosomal RNA is filed under the name uncultured bacterium. RNAcentral's name for it is "bacterial SSU rRNA". It matches the Rfam family "Bacterial small subunit ribosomal RNA", at positions 370 to 772 of the family's 1533-position model. The record is from RNAcentral.